Molecule: ribosomal RNA, 1489 nt
Filed under: uncultured bacterium
Lineage: Bacteria
Description: bacterial SSU rRNA
Rfam family: Bacterial small subunit ribosomal RNA
Source: RNAcentral
AGAGUUUGAUCCUGGCUCAGGAUGAACGCUAGCUACAGGCUUAACACAUGCAAGUCGAGGGGCAGCAUGGUCUUAGCUUGCUAAGGCCGAUGGCGACCGGCGCACGGGUGAGUAACACGUAUCCAACCUGCCGUCUACUCUUGGACAGCCUUCUGAAAGGAAGAUUAAUACAAGAUGGCAUCAUGAGUCCGCAUGUUCACAUGAUUAAAGGUAUUCCGGUAGACGAUGGGGAUGCGUUCCAUUAGAUAGUAGGCGGGGUAACGGCCCACCUAGUCUUCAAUGGAUAGGGGUUCUGAGAGGAAGGUCCCCCACAUUGGAACUGAGACACGGUCCAAACUCCUACGGGAGGCAGCAGUGAGGAAUAUUGGUCAAUGGGCGAGAGCCUGAACCAGCCAAGUAGCGUGAAGGAUGACUGCCCUAUGGGUUGUAAACUUCUUUUAUAAAGGAAUAAAGUCGGGUAUGGAUACCCGUUUGCAUGUACUUUAUGAAUAAGGAUCGGCUAACUCCGUGCCAGCAGCCGCGGUAAUACGGAGGAUCCGAGCGUUAUCCGGAUUUAUUGGGUUUAAAGGGAGCGUAGAUGGAUGUUUAAGUCAGUUGUGAAAGUUUGCGGCUCAACCGUAAAAUUGCAGUUGAUACUGGAUAUCUUGAGUGCAGUUGAGGCAGGCGGAAUUCGUAGUGUAGCGGUGAAAUGCUUAGAUAUCACGAAGAACUCCGAUUGCGAAGGCAGCCUGCUAAGCUGCAACUGACAUUGAGGCUCGAAAGUGUGGGUAUCAAACAGGAUUAGAUACCCUGGUAGUCCACACGGUAAACGAUGAAUACUCGCUGUUUGCGAUAUACUGCAAGCGGCCAAGCGAAAGCGUUAAGUAUUCCACCUGGGGAGUACGCCGGCAACGGUGAAACUCAAAGGAAUUGACGGGGGCCCGCACAAGCGGAGGAACAUGUGGUUUAAUUCGAUGAUACGCGAGGAACCUUACCCGGGCUUAAAUUGCAGAUGAAUUACGGUGAAAGCCGUAAGCCGCAAGGCAUCUGUGAAGGUGCUGCAUGGUUGUCGUCAGCUCGUGCCGUGAGGUGUCGGCUUAAGUGCCAUAACGAGCGCAACCCUUGUUGUCAGUUACUAACAGGUUCCGCUGAGGACUCUGACAAGACUGCCAUCGUAAGAUGUGAGGAAGGUGGGGAUGACGUCAAAUCAGCACGGUCCUUACGUCCGGGGCUACACACGUGUUACAAUGGGGGGUACAGAGGGCCGCUACCACGCGAGUGGAUGCCAAUCCCCAAAACCUCUCUCAGUUCGGACUGGAGUCUGCAACCCGACUCCACGAAGCUGGAUUCGCUAGUAAUCGCGCAUCAGCCACGGCGCGGUGAAUACGUUCCCGGGCCUUGUACACACCGCCCGUCAAGCCAUGGGAGCCGGGGGUACCUGAAGUGCGUAACCGCGAGGAGCGCCCUAGGGUAAAACUGGUGACUGGGGCUAAGUCGUAACAAGGUAGCC